GCGCCCGAGGACCGAAGCUGCCCGCGCCCUCCGGCACUGUGCCGUGACCUGCCCGGGAGCGCAGACCUGACUCGGCUCGACCGAAACUGAUGCAUGUUUUACUCCCAGCCUAGUACCCAAAAAAAGGGGAAAGGAAAACAAGAAUCUUUGUGCCUGCCCUUUGCAUGACCCAGGACUCCGGUGCCAAUGAAAAGAACACAAUCCUGAGGCCAAACUCAGCCUCUACCCUGGACAUCACAGAAUCCUGAAUAGACUUCGGAAGAGCUGUGACCUAGGAUGGAGGCUGUCAAUCAAGGGGCACUGCCUCCCCUCAGAAGGCUGGGAAGGAUGGGAGACGCCAACCCCGUGCUUCUCAGUCUCUCCUGAAGGUCUAACGCCGGCCACCCUGCAGUGCAGAUCACAGUUAUCCGUGGUCUUCUAGUUUGCUUCAUCUUGAAUUCUCCUGCCUUAGGUCUGCCAGUGAAAUAAUGGAAACUUUCCGGGAGCAAGAAGCUAAAAGAUUUUUGUCAAGACAAAUGCUCAGCAUAAGGAAAAUGAAGGUAAAUUAACUAACACCAGAGACCACAGCUGCUAGGUCAAUGUAGGAUGAGCUGUAAGAAACAAGUGACAUCGUGAAGCCCUGGUACUGGACAAGAAGUUAAUGUUUAUAUUGAGAACAGAAGGAAUUCCACACAUGCAGCUGAGAGCUGGAGAAAGUAGAGAGCAGAAACCAGACACCCUCCUGCGUGCCUGUCACUCUUGAGCACUGAGGGCCUCUGAAGGUCCCGAGGCCUGGGCCACGCGGGUAUGUGGUGGUGACCCC
RNAcentral lists this long non-coding RNA (802 nucleotides) under Heterocephalus glaber (naked mole-rat). RNAcentral's name for it is "lncRNA (ENSHGLG00000046008.1)". Lineage: Eukaryota; Metazoa; Chordata; Mammalia; Rodentia; Bathyergidae. The record is from RNAcentral.